This 574-nucleotide ribosomal RNA is filed under the name uncultured rumen bacterium. RNAcentral describes it as "bacterial SSU rRNA". It matches the Rfam family "Bacterial small subunit ribosomal RNA", at positions 347 to 916 of the family's 1533-position model. The record is from RNAcentral.
GGCAGCAGCUAAGAAUAUUCCGCAAUGGACGAAAGUCUGACGGAGCGACGCCGCGUGGAUGAUGAAGGCCGAAAGGUUGUAAAAUCCUUUUGAACUGGACGAAUAAGUGUGGCAGGGAAUGGUCAUAUGGUGACGGUACAGUUUGAAUAAGAGGCGGCUAAUUACGUGCCAGCAGCCGCGGUAACACGUAAGCCUCGAGCGUUGUUCGGAAUUAUUGGGCGUAAAGGGCAUGUAGGCGGCCAUCUAAGCUUGGCGUGAAAGGCAGGAGCUCAACUCCUGGACUGCGUUGAGAACUGGAUGACUAGAGUUACUGAAGUGGAAUCAGAAUUCCAGGUGUAGGGGUGAAAUCUGUAGAUAUCUGGAAGAAUACCAAUGGCGAAGGCAGGUUUCAGGCAGAUAACUGACGCUGAGGUGCGAAGGUGCGGGGAGCAAACAGGAUUAGAUACCCUGGUAGUCCGCACAGUCAACGAUGUACACUAGAUGUCUGGUCAUGAGAUCGGGUGUCGAAGCAAACGCGAUAAGUGUACCGCCUGGGGAGUAUGCCCGCAAGGGUGAAACUCAAAGGAAUUGACGG